Molecule: ribosomal RNA, 238 nt
Filed under: uncultured bacterium
Lineage: Bacteria
Description: partial 16S ribosomal RNA
Rfam family: Bacterial small subunit ribosomal RNA
Source: RNAcentral
GAUCCUGGCUCAGGAUGAACGCUGGCGGCGUGCUUAACACAUGCAAGUCGAACGAAGCACUUAAGACAGAUUCUUCGGAUGAAGUUUUUUGUGACUGAGUGGCGGACGGGUGAGUAACGCGUGGGCAACCUGCCUCAUACAGGGGGAUAACAGUUAGAAAUGACUGCUAAUACCGCAUAAGCGCACAGGGUCGCAUGACCUGGUGUGAAAAACUCCGGUGGUAUGAGAUGGACCCGCG